This 71-nucleotide transfer RNA is filed under the name Bos taurus (domestic cattle). It matches the Rfam family "tRNA". From Rfam's summary of the family: Transfer RNA (tRNA) molecules are approximately 80 nucleotides in length. Their secondary structure includes four short double-helical elements and three loops (D, anti-codon, and T loops). Lineage: Eukaryota; Metazoa; Chordata; Mammalia; Artiodactyla; Bovidae. The record is from Rfam by way of RNAcentral. RNAcentral also lists the same sequence under 4 other names.
UCCUAGAAGUUCAGCUGGUAAAGAAUCUGCCUGCAAAGCAGGAGACCUGGGUUCAAUUCCCAGGCUAGGAA